AUGAACGCUGGCGGCGUGCCUAAUACAUGCCAGUCGCGCGAACAGACGAGGAGCUUGCUCCUCUGACGUUAGCGGCGGACGGGUGAGUAACACGUGGAUAACCUACCUAUAAGACUGGGAUAACUUCGGGAAACCGGAGCUAAUACCGGAUAAUAUAUUGAACCGCAUGGUUCAAUAGUGAAAGACGGUUUUGCUGUCACUUAUAGAUGGAUCCGCGCCGCAUUAGCUAGUUGGUAAGGUAACGGCUUACCAAGGCGACGAUGCGUAGCCGACCUGAGAGGGUGAUCGGCCACACUGGAACUGAGACACGGUCCAGACUCCUACGGGAGGCAGCAGUAGGGAAUCUUCCGCAAAGGGCGAAAGCCUGACGGAGCAACGCCGCGUGAGUGAUGAAGGUCUUCGGAUCGUAAAACUCUGUUAUUAGGGAAGAACAAAUGUGUAAGUAACUAUGCACGUCUUGACGGUACCUAAUCAGAAAGCCACGGCUAACUACGUG
Molecule: ribosomal RNA, 496 nt
Filed under: uncultured bacterium
Lineage: Bacteria
Description: partial 16S ribosomal RNA
Rfam family: Bacterial small subunit ribosomal RNA
Source: RNAcentral